RNAcentral lists this ribosomal RNA (1885 nucleotides) under Triticum aestivum (bread wheat). Its description in RNAcentral is "partial small subunit ribosomal RNA". The record is from RNAcentral. Lineage: Eukaryota; Viridiplantae; Streptophyta; Magnoliopsida; Poales; Poaceae.
CUCCCUACCUCCCCACUCCAUUCCCCAUUUCCCCAUCCGUGCGAGUGCGCCGGCGGCCAGGAGCAUUGCGGCCAAAUCUGCCGUCCCGCUAGCCGCCGGCCAUGGAGGCCGCCGCAGCGCCCGUGGCCAACCAGGGGGAAUCCCAUGGGACCGCAGCGAAGACGGCGCGGUGCGGCGACUCCGACGAGAGCGCCGCGGAUUACAUCAGCAGGGUCCCCGAUGCCGUCCUCUGCACCAUCAUCUCCCUCCUCCCCACCAAGGACGGCGGCCGGACGCAGAUCUUCUCCCGCCGAUGGCGCCCCCUAUGGGCCUCCGCGCCUCUCAACCUCGAGGUCCGCACCCGUCACCCCGGCCCCGGCGUCCCCAUCCGCACCUCCUCCGUCUUCCCCGAUGCCGCCUCCAAGGUAAUCUCCAAGCAUCCUGGCCCCGCCUGCCGAUUCUGCUUCCACGGCCUCUGCCCCGGCGACCUCCACGACCAGGCGGAGACCUGGUUCCUCUCCCGAGCCCUCGCCAAGCUUCAGGAGCUCGAUGUCGGCUACGCGUUCUGCGAUGAACGUAAUCCGGGGAGAAACCCGCUGCCGCCAUCGGCGCUCCGCUCUGCGCCUACCCUCCUAGUUGCCAAGAUCAGCUGUUGUGAUUUGCCCCGAGAGAUGGUGCCGUCCAUGGGCUUUGACCUCCUCCAGCGUCUCUCCUUGAUCUCCGUUUACAUCUCAGUGGACGUCUUCCGUGGACUGCUCCCUGCUUGCCGUGCCUUGGAGAGCUUACACAUGUCCAACGUUCUUGGUACGCGUUGCCUCCAUGUUCGCUCGCCGACUCUUAGGAGUAUAUGCUUCCGUAACACCUCUGGUAGAGCAGAGCUGGUCAUCGAGGAUGUGCCUCGCCUUGUGAGGUUACUAAUACCUUUUGGUUGCCGAGAAAACUGUGGUACUAUCCGGGUAAUUUCUGCGCCUAAAUUGGAGAUAUUGGGCCCUUUGUUACCUGUCGUCUCCAAGCUCCUCCUAGUCUCCCAGGGAGUAAGUUCAGCCGACUUGGCAAACUCGAUGCACACCGUGAAGAUUUUGGCUCUCAGGUGUUCUGGAUAUGAAUUGGACGGAGUUCUUAAUAUCCUUAGGAGGUUCCCCUGUCUCGAGAAGCUCUAUAUCAUUUUUCACAAACACUACGAGAUGGAUGCCAAAAUCGAGCCUCAGUAUGACCGACGACUAUAUCCAAUUGAAUGCCUUCAAACCCAUCUCAAAACAGUGGUGUUUGAAACAUUCGUGGGCCAUGAUAAACAGCUUGAGUUUGCCAAGUUCUUUGUUUUGAAUGCAAAGGCGCUAAAAGAAAUUGAAUUUGAAGGAAUAUAUGGUGCCAAAAACGAUGUAUCGCUGGCUUACCAACACACGCUGCUACGAGUGGAAAACAGAGCUUCUCGAGAUGCCCAAUUUGAAUUCAGGAGCAGAUAUCGCAAUACUGCGAUUCAUCUCCUCAGGCAUAUCCAUGAUUUGUCAGUGGCCGACCCCUUCGAACAGUUAUAGACACGGUUGAUGCCUGAAGAUUGCGCUGUUCUUAGUGUCUUGUGCUUGUUUUGCAGGCAAUGUUGAUGUCAAAUGAUUGCACUGUCUUCCGCAUAGACCUGCUCUUUUUUCUAGUCUAAGGUUCCUCUGUAAUUCCAGUACCUUAUGAAGUUGCUCCUGUUAAAACUGCAAGAGAUGCUUUUAGAUGCAAAAAGAAUGCACUGUGGAAAAUUUCUUAUGUGGAGGGAUGCAAAUAAUAUGACUUUGAAUUUGUACCUGGAGACAGCUGGUAAGCACAAUUGUUUAUGGCUUUGUUCUGCCAAAGCUGUGCUAGGAACACAUCCCUGUGUCGGAAACUUCAAUGUCUUAUCAGUUAUCAUAUAGAAAAGCGC